CAUGUCCAGCUCCAACUGAGAUGCGAAUCGCAAAAAGUAGGUGAUGAGCCAAAGAAAGUGCGAUUUGUCUAAGGGAAGAUCGUCUUCCUGCAACAACUGUUGAUGUAGUUGACCCACCAGUGUGUUGUAACCUACAAGAUCAAAAAAUCGACAGUGAACUCUUUCAACAGUUGUGAAAUAUCUUCCUCUGUUGGACUGUAUUGGACGGCCUUUAACUUGAUGUGACCAAUAGUCCGGCUUCGUUUGCUCAACUUUUUUCUUCGCUGUUCUUUCUCUGGAGGUGGCAUUUUCCCAGUUUUGUGAUUCACUUUGUUGUUUCUAGAGAAACAGAGAAGAAUUUCAUCAACCAUGUUUUUCAUUUUCACCAUUUUCUUAGCAACACGGGAUAUACCUCUUGGUAGAACUAUCUUCGGUUUGCUGGUUUAUCGUAGCUGCAAUGCCACUAGCAUUCAGUGCUUCUGCGUUAAUUAUGCCAGAAAUUGGAGUCGAAAUAAUAGUUUCACUCCUCCUCUCAGAAUUCUGCGAGUUGCCAUGACAGCGACGUUUGGAUGAUUUUUCUUUAUGAUCAUCCGAUUCCUUGUUGUUUUGGCUGGCAUGAUGAGUUCCUGAAUUCUCAGAGUGAAAGCCACUCGAGGCGCUAUGUUGGCUAGAUCGCCGGGAUUUAUCUAACGUGGUACCAAAACAAUAAAAUUAUGUUGACAAUAAUCUCUUGAAUAAUACUAAACAAAUUUCGGCUUACCUGAUUGGCUGCUGUAUUGUGACGGAGCUGUGCUGGAUGUACUAGCAGUAUCUCCUCCCUGACCACCAGAAAGUGUUGAAAACUUGUGACCUUUAUUCCGACUCAGCUUUCCCGUCACUGGGGUUGUGCUGGUCGAUGUUGUGUUGGACACGACGGUCUUCUUUUCGACUGUCGCCAUAGUUUCUCCUUGUGAUUCGUUAAAAACAGCCUCAGAGUUCUCGUCUGAUAACAAGAUAUUGGAGAUUGCAACGUGAAAGUUCUAGAAGUCGAUGCUUUAUGUAAUUCGACCUACCUGGAGGAGACAUUCCGGAAGCUUUUCUCUGUGCCGAAUCAGAAGAAUCGGAUGUCGGAUCCGACGACGAAGUCAAGAUCUGUGGACUAUUGCAAGGGCCAAUCUGUAACGAGAUUCAACACAAACAUAUUGAAUUAUCAAAGCUAAAAAAUAAAAAAAUCGUUAUAGUAGUGUGAAGGCUCUUACCGGAGGCGAAGUGUUGCUCUCGUCGUCAUCCUCGGAUGAUUCGGAUGUAGUGGGAUUGAUCCAUGUGCCAAGCAAUUUCUGCAUAUUCUCGACAUGCUGAUCUUUGUAGAAUAGAGCAAUCAGCUGAACGAUUGUCACCACCCAUUCGUCCUGAGUUUUCAAAAAUAGAUCAACAAUUAUGCACGGCUCACCGAACUGGCAUAAUUUGGCUUA
Molecule: long non-coding RNA, 1430 nt
Organism: Daphnia magna
Lineage: Eukaryota; Metazoa; Arthropoda; Branchiopoda; Diplostraca; Daphniidae
Exons: 2
Source: RefSeq, a predicted model, not a curated record